RNAcentral lists this long non-coding RNA (6970 nucleotides) under Olea europaea subsp. europaea. Lineage: Eukaryota; Viridiplantae; Streptophyta; Magnoliopsida; Lamiales; Oleaceae. The record is from RNAcentral.
UUGAGCUAUCUACUCAUAUAUUUUCCCACGUUUUUCUUUAUCAGGCAGCAAUUGAGUAUCUGGGCAUCUUGGGGAGUCGAGUCUUGAUUUUGAAUUCAGACCCACACGACAGAGUUUGUUAGUAUGACUCACUUCAUAGAACAUGUAGUCAGUGUUUUGGGACGCCGUCUAGAUGUGGUUUUUGCAUCACUUGUAAAUAGUUAUUGGGCUCACUAUGUAAUUUGCUUCCAUAUGUACAUUUCAUGCUAUUUUCUUGGUAAAAGAUGAACUUUCAGCUUAUUGUUAUUGUGUUGUGUUAUAAUUUAGGAUUUGUGUAUAGUGGAAUACAGGUUGGUUAGUCCGAUUUACAAAGGAGAUAAUGCCGAAAUUAUGUUAGAAAUUAUUUAUAAAAAGUUGCAUAUCGUGGUUGUAGUAGCUUUGAUGGUAGGUCCGACUUUUAGUUGGUAUCUAUCAUCGGCGCAUGCCAUGCUUCGGGUCUAGCAGUGUUACACGGGACGGGGCGUGUCACUUUGGUAUCAGAGCAUGCAUUAGAGUCCAUAGGUUUGCAUUGUACAUACAUACAUUCUGAUUUUUAGCAUAUGAUGCAUAACUGUAGGUGAGUCAUGCCUCGUGGUGGUAAAACUCGAAGGCUCCAAGAUAUGUUGCCCCAAUCUCACAUUGCUCCUGAUAGACCUAGAGAGUUCGAGAGGGUAGAAGAAUCAGUUCACCAACCUCCUGAACAACGGGGAUAGGAAAAUGUGAUUGGAACUGAUUCUAUGAUUGUUGAAAGAAUUGUUAUUGUUGUUGCAUCCGCUAUGCAUAAUAUUGAGAGAGAUUUCAGUAAUGAAAGGGCUACAAAAUUAGGGGCUAAAGUUUUCACUAGAACAGCCGAUCCUGCAGUUGCUCAGGCAUGGAUGACCAAGAUAGAGAGGGUAUUUGAUGUUAUGGGUUGCUCAAAUGAUGGAAAGUUGUGUCUUGCCACUUUCUUAUUAGAGAAGAGUGCGUAUGAUUGGUGGCAGUCGGUACGGAGCACAUAUCUAAACCCUUCCAUCAUCACUUGGAUAGAUUUUUGGCGUAUCUUUUACGAUGCCUAUUACCCUUGAUCCUAUAAAGAUGUAAAACAGGAGAAAGUUUUGAAACUAGUACAAGACCAUAUGAUUAUUGUAGAAUAUCAGGUGAAAUUUAUUGAACUUUCAAAAUAUACCUAAGUUUUGGUAAGCAACAAAAUGGAUAAAUGCAGUUGAUUUGAAAAUAGGUUAAGGGAAGAGAUCCGAUCAGUAGUAACAGCUGGAGGCUGGAACGAACUUGGGAAAUUGGUGGAAUCAGCUUUGAGAGUAGAAAAGAGCAUUAUAGUAGGCCAAGUGGUAGAGAACAAACAAUAUUUAGAGCAAACAGUAGUCAAACAAUGACAAGUGCUUCUAGUAAUAGACCCCCAUGAAGGACAGUAGAGGAUUUCGACCUGGUGUAUCCAGUUCAGAUCAAUUCAAAUCUCGAUUUCAAGAAAGCCAGGGUCCUAGAUUCAGUCCCAAUACUGUGCAGCAACCAUUGGCCAGUCGUACUUAUACUCGGGGUUCUUCCCAAAGAUCAUUUACUCCGAGACAGGGAGAGAGUUCUACUAGUGCCAGAUUUCCUUCUUGCAAGUAAUGUGAAAGAUCUCAUCCUGAAGAGUGCUUAAAGUUCAAGGGAGCUGGUGUUUGCUAUCACUGUGGCUAAGAAGGACAUCUGAAAAGGAACUGCCCAGUUGUAUUCCAUGAGAGUGGCAUGGCAUAGAGGAUGUUUCCUCAACAGAGUGCUAGUACUACAAGACAGAAUCAGACUCAGAGAAAUGAUUCAGCUAACAGAGAAAGUGCAAACAGUGCGGCCCAGUCUAAUAUCGCAAGCGAUAGUGGUACAAAAUCAAAAGGUCAAGCAGGACAACCGAAGGCCCAGGGCAAAGUUUUUGCUAUGACUCAACAGAUGGCAGAGGAGUUACCAGAUGUUAUCAUGGGUAUGUUGUCUAUUUUUGAUAAAAAUGCUCAUAUUUUGAUUGAUCCUAGAUCUUCACAUUCUUUUAUGUAAUUUGCAUUUACUUUAUAUAUGAAUCAAAAGCUAGAACCUCUAGGCAGUUGUUUGGUAGUGAGUACACUAGUAGGAGAAUCACUAUUAGCAAACAGUAUAUAUCGAGAUUGUGGGAUUAAGGUAAAGGAGAAUGAGCUGAAGGCAAAUUUGACACAUCUUGACAUAUAUGAUUUCGAUGUUAUCUUGGUUAUGGAUUUUCUGGCAACAAAUCGAGCUUCAAUUGAUUGCUUUCGAAAGGAGGUUGUGUUUAGGCAGCCAGAACGGCCUGAACUUAUAUUCGCAGAAUUUUAUCAUCUUGUGUGAUAUCUGCUAUUGAUGCUAGAAGAUUACUCAACAAGGGCUGACAUGCAUAUUUGGCUCAUGUGAUUGAUACAAAUGUUAGUAAACUAAAACUCAAAGAUAUCUCAGUGGUUAAAGACUUUCCUGAUGUAUUUCCAUAAGAAUUACCAGGCUUACCAUCAGAUAGGGAUAUCGAGUUCACUAUAGAUCUGAUUCCAGGAACUGCACCUAUUUCACGAGUUCCAUAUAGGAUGACUCUAAUAGAAUUGAAAGAGCUAAAGGUUCAAUUGCAAGAGUUGGUAGACAAGGAUUUCAUCAGACCUAGUGUAUCUCCAUGGGGAGCACCAAUUUUAUUUGUGAAGAAGAAAGAUGGCACCAUGUGAUUGUGCAUAGAUUACAGACAGUUGAACAAAGUGACAAUUCGCAAUAAAUAUCCUUUGCUAUGUAUUGAUGAUUUGUUUGAUCAACUUCGUGGUGCUGCAGUAUUCUUAAAGUUUGAUUUGCGUUCUGGAUAUCAUCAACUUAAAAUCAGGGACAGUAAUAUGCCAAAAACUAUUUUCAGGACAAGGUAUGGUCAUUAUGAAUUUGUUGUGAUGCCAUUUGGGUUGACCAAUGCACCAGCAGCAUUUAUGGAUAUGAUGAAUAGAGUGUUUCGCUCUUAUUUAGACAGAUUUGUGAUUGUAUUCAUCGAUGAUAUUUUAGUAUACUCUUAGAAUCAUGAUGAGCACACAGAGCAUCUCAAAAUCAUCUUACAAACUCUACGGGAUAAGCAGUUGUAUGCUAAAUUCAGUAAAUGUGAAUUCUGGCUGGAUAGAUUUGUAUUCUUGGGACAUGUCAUAUCAGUAGAGAGAAUUUAUGUUGACCCGCAGAAAAUUGAGGCAUUGAUAAAGUGGGAAAGGCCUACUAAUGUGACAGAAAUACAAAGUUUUAUUCGCUUAGCAGGUUAUUGCUGUCAUUUUGUAGAGGAAUUUUCUAAAAUUGUUCUGCUUUUGACCAGUUUGACUAGAAAGAAUGAUAAUUUUGUAUGGAAUGAAGAUUGUGAAAGAAGUUUUCUCGAAUUGAAGAAUCGAUUAGUGUCAGCUCCAGUUCUUACCCUAUCAUCUCCUGGUAAAGAGUUUGUAAUAUUUAGUAAUGUUUUACGUCAGGGUCUUGGUUGUGUUUUAAUGCAGAAUGGGAAAGUUAUACCGUAUGCUUCCAGGCUGUUGAAGAAACAUGAACUGAGUUAUCUUACACAUGACUUAGAGCUAGCUGCAGUUGUCCUAGCCUUGAAGAUUUGGAGACAUUACUUGUAUGGCGAGAGAUGUCAGAUAUAUACAGAUCAUAAAAGCUUAAAGUAUAUUUUCAAUCAGAAAGAGUUGAACCUGAGGCAAAGAAGAUGGUUAGAGUUGAUAAAAGAUUACGAUUGCAAGAUGAUUAUCAUCUAGAGAAGGCUAAUGUAGUUGCUAAUACUCUCAGUCAGAAGAUAUCAAAUCCUAUGAUCUAGACUAAUGCAAUAUGUUCUUCUUUGUUUGGUGAGUUUAGAGCUUCACAUGCCCAAUUGUCAGUUACUAAUGUAGGAGCAUUGUUUGCCAACUUCCAAGUCACUUUGAUUGACACAGUUAGAGAAGCCCAAACUCAAGAUCCAGUGUUGAGCAAAUUGAAAGAAGAAGUUAGUAAAGGUAAGCACAUAGAUUAUACCAUUCGAGAUGACGGAGCUUUAGUUAUGGAAAACAGAUUAUGUGUUCCAGAUGAUUCGAAAUUGAAGAGAGAAAUUCUAGAAGAGGCACAUUGUUCAGCUUACGCAAUACAUCCGGUUAGUGUUAAAAUGUAUCAUAUACUCAAAGAACACUAUUGGUGGCAUGGAUUUGUAUCCAGAUGUCUCAUUUAUUAGCAAGUGAAACUAGAUCGUCAGAAAAUAGCAGGAUUGUUACAAAUACUGCCUAUUCCUGAGUGGAAAUGGGAGCACAUUACUAUGGAUUUCUUAUUUGGACUUCCACAGACUCAUAGUGGACAUAAUGGCACAUGGAUCAUUAUAGACAGAUUGAUGAAGCUACCAGAUUUUUGCCUAUUAAAAUCACUUACUCGUUAAAUAAAUUGGCAAAAAUAUAUGUUGAUGAGAUAAUCAGUUUGUAUGGGGCACCAGUAUCUAUUAUUUCAGAUAGAGAUUCUCGUUUUAUUUCUAAAUUUUGGCCCAGUUUGCAGAAAGCUAUGGGUACUAAACUUCAUUUCAGUACAACUUUUCAUCCACAAACAGAAGGUCAGUCAGAAAGAACUAUUCAGACUUUGGAAGAUAUGUUACGAGCUUGUGUACUAUAGUUUAAAGGGAAUUGGGAAACUCAUCUUCCUUUGAUGUAGUUUGCUUAUAAUAACAGUUAUCAUUCAAGUAUAGGAAUGACUCCUUUUGAAGCACUGUAUGGUAGGAUAUGAAGAACUCCAGUAUGUUGGGAUGAAGUGGGCGAAAGAAAGUUAUUGGUCCUGAAUAAGUCCAGAUUACUGUUGAGAAAGUAAAGAUAAUUAAAGAAAAGUUAAAGACAACUCAAAAUAGACAGAAGAACUAUACAGAUAGACGCAGAAGAAACCUUGAAUUUGAUGUUGAGGAUAGAGUUUUCCUGCGAUUGUCGCCAUGGAAAUGUGUUAUCAGAUUUGAUAAACGGGAUAAAUUGAGUCAGAGGUAUAUUGGCCCAUAUGAGAUUAUUGAGUGCAUUGGUCCAAUUGCUUAUCGAUUGUCUUUGCCAAUGGAAUUGUCCAGAAUUCAUGAUGUAUUCCAUGUUUCCAUGCUUCGUAAGUAUAUUCCGAAUCCAUCUCAUGUUUUGGAAUCACUACCAGUAAAGCUGAAAGAAAAUCUUACAUAUGAAGAAGAACCAGUUCAGUUAUUGGACUGAAAAGAAGAUGUCUUGCUCAGUAAGACUAUUCAUUUGGUUAAAGUCUUGUGGAGGAAUCAGGCUGUAGAAGAAGCUACACGGGAAAGUGAAGAGCAGAUGUGUUCUCAGUAUCCCCAGAUUUUUCGCACUUAGUUAAUUGAAUUUUGAAGAAAUUCUUUUAAGGAGGUGAGUUUUGUAAUACUUUAAUUAAUUUAAAAGGGAAGUCAACCAAAUUGGUCAAAAAUGUCCAGAAUGAAAAAAAAAGGAUAAAACAAAAAUUGGCAGGCGAUGGAUAAAAGUCAUCCAAAUCCAAUCUGUUAUAUAUAUACAAUCAAAAUCUCAUAACACAACACACACUACAAACACAAGAAACAAAAACAGGGAGAAAGAAAGAGGAGAGAAAGGAAAAAGAAGAAAAAAAGGGGAAAAAGAAGGAAAAAAGGAGGAAAAUUUGCCAAUAUGUUAGGAAUUAAGCGAGUUAUACUAUUAGGCUUGAAUUCCUCAAUUUCAAAAGGUAAGUAAAAAGUUACUUAUUGUCAAGUUAUGUUUAAUAUUAUAGUUGUUUGAUUGUUAGAUUAAAUUCAAUUUUAUUGAAGGGGUUAAGUAUAAUAAACUAUGAAAUUAAGUAAAAUGAAAGAAAAAUUAGUUUUAGUGAUUAGAUAGACUUUAGAAAUUGCUCAAAUGUGAAAUGAUUAAGUUGAGCAUCUCGCCUGUUUAAUUAUUGAAAUUACUUAAAAUAAUUAAUUAUCGAUUUAAAAAUUAUAUCAUAUUUCAAGUGGUGAUGCGGGUAUCGGGGCAGCGUACCAGCCAAGUUGAUAUUGACGUGCAUAGUUCUGUGAGUGGAAAAAUAUAAGUAUUUUUAAAGUAAUUAUAAAUUAAGUAUAUUAUCAAAGUAUGUGCAAUUAUGUAAAUUAUUUGCUCCAUUAUGUGAUUACGAUGAAAGUUUCUCUUAUUAUGAUUCAUGUCGAAUCUCAAAAAUUAUUUAUGGCACAUUUGUGACUUGGUAAAUAAGACAUGUGAUAUUGAGAUUUGUCUGAUAUGUGAGACAUGUAAUAUUGAGAUCGACCAGAAAAGCACUCAUGAUUAUACUUCUUCUAGUUCACAGAGGGGCCUUGGCCGUGUUCUAUCCUACAUGGAGGGUCUUGACAGGACAUUGGUCUUGACCGUAUACAUAUAGUUCACAGUAGGACCAUGAUCGUUUAUAAAAUUGAUUAUGAGAGGUCUUUGAGACCUGCUUUCGUUCACAGAGAGGGUCAAAGGCCCAUGGUUAAAGUUUUUAGCUCGAGGGGUGGAUUACAAAUUUCAGUCAGAUGGUACAUUUGUGGUGGAUUUUUCAGUAUAUUUGAUAUGAUGAGAGUCUGGUAUGAUUAUUAGCUUAUGUUAAUAUCAUGAUUUGAGAUGAUAUUUUAUGAAGUUGUGUGGAUAUCUCACGUUUUGGCUAUAAUUAUAUGAUGUUAUCUUGUAAAUUAUUCAAUGAUAUGAAUUCGAUUUUCAAUAAAUAUAAAAUGGGAAAAAUAUAUUUAAUUUUGAACUUCUCCACUCACUGAACUAUCAAUUCAUAUAUUUUUCCACAUUUUUCCUUGUCAGGCAGCAAUUGAGUAUCUGGGCAUCUUGGGGAGUUGAGCCUUGAUUUUGGAUUUAGAGCCACACAACAGAGUUUGUUAGUAUGACUCACUUCAUAGAACAUGUAGUCAGUGCAUGUUCAUGUCUAGAUAUGAUUUGGCAUCACUUGUAAAUAAUUAUUGGGCUCACUAUGUAUAUUGCUUCCAUAUGUACAUUUCAUGUUAUUUUCUUGGUAAAAGAUGAAAUUUCAG